AAGGUCCUAGCUUAAUUAAAGCGCCUGAGUUGCAUUUGGGAGAUGCGGGGUAAUGUCUCGCGGAUCUUA
This 69-nucleotide transfer RNA is filed under the name Phainopepla nitens. Its description in RNAcentral is "tRNA-Ala". The record is from RNAcentral. Lineage: Eukaryota; Metazoa; Chordata; Aves; Passeriformes; Bombycillidae.